This is a long non-coding RNA of Oryzias melastigma (Indian medaka), 3363 nucleotides long. RefSeq lists it as uncharacterized. NCBI's taxonomy places the organism in Eukaryota, Metazoa, Chordata, Actinopteri, Beloniformes, Adrianichthyidae. The record is from RefSeq and is a predicted model, not a curated record. The transcript is spliced from 3 exons.
GACUUCACGAGCGUGAAGAAGAGGUUUCAGGAGCGUGGAGAAGAGGUUUCAGGAGCGUGGAGAAGAGGUUUCACAAGCGUGGAAAAGAGGUUUCAGGAGCGUGGAGAAGAGGUUUCACGAGCGUGGAGAAGAGGUUUCAGGAGCGUGGAGAAGAGGUUUCAGGAGCGUGGAGAAGAGGUUUCAGGAGCGUGGAGAAGAGGUUUCACGAGCGUGGAGAAGAGCUUUCAGGAGCGUGGAGAAGAGCUUUCACAAGCAUGGAGAAGAGGUUUCACGAGCGUGGAGAAGAGGUUUCAGGAGCGUGGAGAAGAGGUUUCACGAGCGUGCAGGAGUGGAGGAGCGGGUUUGGAGACUGUCUGCUGCUGGUUGGAGCUUCAAAGCUUAUUUCUGACUUUAAAUCAGCGACUUCAGUUUUGUUCUCAUACUCUGAAGCUUAUAGGAAAACCACAGCAGGUCUUCCAUGUUUGCUUUUUCCCCAAAACGUUGCAGGCCAACGACCAAAACUCAAACACAGCCGACUCUCCGAGUGCCGUCUGUAACCCUCGCACUCGUGGAACUUGGAACAGGCUCAGCGUGAGUCUCAUUACGCUGAGUACCGAGGUGUUUACACAGCACAAACAUUCGCCCUCCGCCUCCAUCACUCAUCCCUGCGCCUCUGGGUUAGUCUCACUGCGGAGCCCAGGAUGGGAUAGAUUUUCAGAUUGUUCGUCUACUUUCUAAUAACAAAGCAAACUCUUCCUCCCUGACGCAGGAGUCAGUCAUCAUGUGGAGGAGCCGAAACAUGACGAAAAGAAAAUAUCCUGUCAGCAGAUGUUCAGCCUUCCAAACAGACUGUUAUGACUUCAGCACAACUUUCUGUACCAGCUUUUGUUUUACUCCAAGACUUACUGUUACAGAAAUUUCUAUAUAAAUAAUCCUGUCCUGUGUUGGUCCUGGACUGCAAGGAUCUGCGCCUUUGAGGAAAAAUGUGACCCCUACCACAUACUCAAAAAAUCCCCAACAUUUGCCCGCACCAAGUACCUGCUGAAAAUGCAUUUUGGGCACAGUAAACAUCCUUCUCCAAGAAAUGAUGAUGUCACAGCGGGCAAAACCAAAAACAAAUGACUGGGGCCAAAUCUGUUAUGGGGCUCAAAAAAUAUUUCAGAAUCUACUAAUGAAACUAAAAUGGAGAUGUUUGUGGCUCAUAAUUCAAAACAAAAGUCAAAACUAAAAUGCUUUUCAUUUUCACAGUCUACCUGCAUUACUUGUCUCCUUGGAACUGCUAAGUUGAACUGAUUUAUCAGAAACCUUUUGCGUGGCGAGAUGUGAGAACCAAAAAGCAGUCUUCAUUGGCUUUGUCACUUUAGUUAUGUCCCAGAAUGAGCGCUAAAGAUAAAGGAAAUGAAAAAGCCGUUCGGAAAAUGGCUUUUUCAUUUCUUUAGGAAGUAAUGCAGGUACAUUGUGAAAACGAAAAAGCAUUUCUGUUUAUGCAUUUUUAUUUUUUUAAUUUGAUAUUUCUAAUUGAAUUUUGGUACACAUCUACUAGAGAACUUUUUGAAAAUGAAAUUUCAAUGCCAUUUUCUUUAUCACUUUAAUGAAGCUACUGAAUGCGUGGUGUUGAAGAUGAAAAUGAAAAAAGCAGUUUGGAGAAUUACUUUUUCUUUUCAUUUAGGAGACAAGUAAUUCAGGACCAUUUUGAAAAUGAAAGCUGCAAUUUAAAAACCUUUUUUUUCAUGAAUUUGUCCCAUGCAGCUGUGAUCAAAGUGGCAGGUGCAGAGGAGGCGUGUAGCACCUGCAGGUCAUUUAGUCAAGCUCAUUGCUCUCAGCUGUAUGUCUACUUUAAACGGCCCGUCUUUGUGCUCUGACUGCUCUCCACACAGGAAUAAUACAUGUUUGGAUCCAUGGACACAAGAAGAAAAAGAAGUGACUGAAGUGCAAAGAUACGAACUUGUUUUAAUAACUUAACAAAUAUUCUUGUGCCUUUGAACAGAAAAUGACAUGAAGAAAAAUUAUAAAUAAAUACCCAAAUAUACAACAUGUAACAGCUUUGCGGUGAAAACUUUUAACCUGUGGUUAAUGUUAACUGUAAUGAACUGCAGUCUGACGACGACUAAAGGAGAAAUGCUGCAGCAGAACAGAAACUCCUCGUCUGCAGGAAGAAUCAAAACACUGUUUUUGUUUGUGAACUCUUGCGUGUUUGUGUCUCAGGCUUCAGUCAGACAGCUCUUGACCUUCACGAUCAGCUCCUCCUUCCUCAGUUUGGUGGAGACAGGAACCCCUCUCUGUUUCAGCCACCGCAGCAGAGCCGCACAGCUCAGCUUGGAGAGCUGGAACAGAGACGGGGAGGAAACGUCAGAAGAAAGCAAAAAUUGAACUCUAUUCUUUUUGGGAUAAAAAAGUUCAGAUGUGGUUCUUAGAAAUAAACCUGUGUGACAACGAGACAGUAAACCAACUUCCAGUCUGAAUGAUGUGUUAAUGAUCCCUCAUUAUGACUGUUGAAGGUGAAUAAAGCAAAGAUUUAAGUGGAAACCUGAUGCUGGAUUCUCUGCACUGUUCAUCAGCACACCACUCAUCACACUCAAAUGAAACAUGAUCUCUGAAUGAUGUUGGUCUUCAGUUUUACACUAGAUCUUCUUGAAAUUCCUAUGGUUUACCUUCAUGAAUGAACAACAUAAAAGCUGAACAGGUCUUUCCAGCAGUCUUUGAAAUCUAGAAACAUUAGGAGUGUAAAAUAAAACCUUUCGGACUAAUACGGGUUACAGAGCUGGUUUCUUUCAGUUCUGAGUUGUUUCAUCAGUUACUAACAUUUCCAGACUGUCCGAACCAGCGAGGCCUUCCUUCUCUGCAGACUAAAAUGGAUCCACAAAAGUACCUUAACAGCUCUUUUCUUUAGAAAUAUGUAUGCUAAAUGACUUUAUCAAUUAAAAAAAUACAUUCUUCAUAUCCUAUUAUAUGAAGCUGGUGGCUGACAGUGAUGUACAUCAUGGUAGAUAAAACUCCUGUUCUUCCAUAUGUCUCCUUUUGUCCAGGGUUUCUGUUCAGCUCUGUAUCUUGGGAUCAGAAUGAGAAAAAGAAGAAGAGCAGACAGACAGCUGAUAGCAUUAUCAUCUGAUGUCAUCAGGAAAUCAGCAGCUAACGGAAGUGAAGCCAUCAUAAGAACUGAACACCAAGGCCGUUUGAUGACACCAACGAGAGAGAGGAGGAUGGAUUUGAAUUUCAAAAUGAGGCGCUGGAAAAGAACUGUGUUGCAGAGCGCCCCCUGCAGGAAGACGGGUCAGGGUUUUUUCCUCUUACCUGGUUGCUCCUGGCCAUCUUCUCCACCUCCAUGUGUUGGAGUGCAGCUGCGUUUUUCUUGGCUGUGACUCCCUGAAACACCAGAUCACGUCU